ACCAUCUUUGUCUUGGGGUGAGCUGCUGCUCAAUGAACGUAUAGUGAGAGCAGUACUGCUAAUGCCACAAACAACACAUACGUGCCACUGGUGUGAAUACACUAGAACGGUACAAUUUUUGGAACC
Non-coding RNA from Xenopus laevis (African clawed frog), 126 nucleotides. The record is from Rfam. NCBI's taxonomy places the organism in Eukaryota, Metazoa, Chordata, Amphibia, Anura, Pipidae.